UGGGGAAUAUUGCACAAUGGGCGCAAGCCUGAUGCAGCAACGCCGCGUGAGCGAGGAAGGCUUUCGGGUCGUAAAGCUCUGUCCUUGGGGAAGAAGGAAGUGACGGUACCCAAGGAGGAAGCCCGGCUAACUACGUGCCAGCAGCCGCGGUAAUACGUAGGGGCAAGCGUUAUCCGGAAUUAUUGGGCGUAAAGAGUACGUAGGUGGUUUUGUAAGCGCGGGGUGAAAGGCAGUGGCUUAACCAUUGUUAGCCUUGCGAACUGCAAGACUUGAGUGCAGGAGAGGGAAGCGGAAUUCCUAGUGUAGCGGUGAAAUGCGUAGAUAUUAGGAGGAACACCAGUGGCGAAGGCGGCUUUCUGGACUGUAACUGACACUGAGGUACGAAAGCGUGGGGAGCAAACAGGAUUAGAUACCC
This 415-nucleotide ribosomal RNA is filed under the name uncultured bacterium. RNAcentral describes it as "bacterial SSU rRNA". It matches the Rfam family "Bacterial small subunit ribosomal RNA", at positions 355 to 787 of the family's 1533-position model. The record is from RNAcentral.